Non-coding RNA from Microcebus murinus (gray mouse lemur), 278 nucleotides. NCBI's taxonomy places the organism in Eukaryota, Metazoa, Chordata, Mammalia, Primates, Cheirogaleidae. The record is from RefSeq and is a predicted model, not a curated record.
GGUCUCCUGGCGACGACGAUGGCGGGGAUGUGGGCGGUCGCAGCUGCACGGACUCGGAAUGCUGCUGCAUCCGGAGCUGCUGUCUCAGGAGUUCCUUCUCCUCACUCUAGAGCAGAAGAACAUAGCUGUUGAAAAUGACGUAAGAAUAAACAAAGACAAUCUUACUGACCUUUAUGUCCAGCAUGCAAUACCAUUGCCUCAGAGGGAUCUGCCAAAGAAUAGAUGGGGGAAAAUGAUGGAAAAGAAAAGAGAACAACAUGAAAUAAAAAAUGAGACUA